CCGUCCUUUCUCUCGCAGGCGCAACGGUGUCGACUGCUCAUGACGAGAGCUGCUGGAAGGACGACGACCACCACCCUAUCUGCUUUCCCGAAGACUGCGUGGCGACCUGCCAGGAUCACGGCCACGCGGACGGCCGCUGCAACUGGGCAUGGUCGUGGAGGCCGUAUUGCCAGUGCCUGUUGGCGGACUGCCAAUAGGCGCGAACAGCUGCGUCGCAUGGCGUCCUGGCUGCCUCGCCGGCCGAUGAAGGAUGAACGGUGCGGCCGAUGAUCGAUGUGUCCGUCGGCAUGUCGAUCACUCAUUGAAACCCCCUCUAAUCCUGUGCGGUAUUAUUUCAUGGCACCUGUGGCCAUUAAAGAUCCAUGGACACGUACAGUACCAAUACAUGAUUCUUCACAGUUCAACUAUCGAUGAUACUGUUCAUGGAUUUUCAUUCCGAUACAAACUCAUUUCGUGGUUAUUUGGAUGUCUUAAAUUAAAUACAGUUUUAGCAAAAAAAACAUGUUUUCACAGAUUUUUAGAAAAAAACAAAUUUAUUAUGUAUUUAAUUGAAAUUCAUUUGGAUGGAAAUAAUAUAAAACUAGUAAAAUGCAUGAUGUUGCAACGACACACAAAUAUUUAGAUACAAAACUCAUUUCGCGGUUAUUUGGAUGUCUUAAAUUAAAAUACAGUUUUAGCAAAAAAAACAUGUUUUCACAGAUUUUUAGAAAAAACAAAUUUAUUAUAUAUUUAAUUGAAUUCAUUUGGAUGGAAAUAAUAUAAAACUAGUAAAAUGCAUGAUGUUGCAACGACACAUAAAUAUUUAGAUGCUAUAGAGUUAAGAAAUUGAUAGUUAAUGUACACAACAACUGCAAGAAGGAAGUGUUAGUGGUAGUUGUAUUUGGUUGCGAUGCAAAAGAUAAGAUUUAUCUUAUCUCUGUGAAUAGCUCGUAUCUAUAUAACUCUCCAUAUAUAUUGUUCUCUGAACAUACAGAGUCUCAGUGUGUAUUACAUGGUAUCUUAGUUGUCUCUUGUAUUUAGAAAACCGAUCUAAAGUCUCUGAGUUGUACAUGCCUUUAUGGUUAUGGGCUGAUAGCAUUUAACGUAAUUGGCAAUAUGUUGCCUCACAUUCAAACAUUUCCUGCUUUCCCUUUUUACGAUGAACACAAACGUAGCAAACCGAAUCCUAUUUGGUGAUGACCACAGAACUCAUCGAAAUCCUAGCCUUCGCCCCUUCUAUUUUUCGAAUCAUGCGUUCUUGUCGAUGACCUGGGGAGGCAUCUUUGUCUAUCCACAGCCUGAGGCUGAUUUGAACCAUUCUCUCUCUCAUCUCCCUCUAUUCGCACUUUCUACUCAUUUUUCAAAAUACCUCACAAUCCUUCCUUCCUCUCCUUAUUUCUCACCUUCUCCAACCAUCCCCCUAUUCAACUCCUUCUUUAUACUUUGCUGAGGUAUUUAACUUUUAUAUAUCAUUUUUGGAGUUUUAAAAAAAUUGAACGAUAUUUGUAGUACUACAAUACACAUUGUUACCUAGUAAUUAAAAUUAAAAAUAAUUAAUUUCAUAUUUAAUAUCAAUGAUUAGUGAAGGUAGUGAAGGGGGGAGAUUAGAGCUGCCCUUUACAGGGCCUUUUUCCUGACGCACAAAGAAAAGGGGGAGGGAAGAGGGAAUCAUUGGAACGAUCCAAGAAGUAGGAACGAUUGUGUGGAUCGUUAGAGUCGGUCUGACCUCCCUUUUGUGGUGCCCAAGCUCCUCCAGCUUCCCCCAUCCAGUCAAGUACCUCCACGGUCAACCACGACCUUCACAACCAGGUGCAAAUAAGUGAUUUAGGGUGUUACUAGAUGGAGUAGCGGUGCAAAUAAGUGAUUUAGGGUGUUACUAGAGGGAGUAGCGGGAGUUUGCUAAUUCUUGCUGGCUUUUUGACAAGUAUAAGAGAUUCUACAAGCUAGUUGUUCACUGUUGAUGUAACCGUGCCAUUGUCCAUGGUCCAUGGAGGGUGAGCUCAUCAAUCUUCAUAUUUUUUGCAGUUCAUUAAUAUGCAACUUAUAGUUUAUAUUUGUGUAUCUGAAAAGGGAAAUGGGAAAUUAAGCCAUUUCUAUAAGUUUUGGUGAUUGAAUUACCAACACAACAUCUAAGACUAACCGAUUUGCUAAGUCUAUGAACAUAGGUUCACUCAAGUGCAAAUUGAAGAUCUCAAGUCCAAAUGGGCUCAAAGAAGGACACAAAGUGCAACAUUUUGAAAAAGGAAAAAACAAUAAGGUUUGAACCUUUGAAUAUGUUGCAUACACCUAUUAGAAUGUUUUCUAGCACUUGGUUUGCUCUAUAAUACAAGUUCUAGCAAAAAUACCUUUUGGACUUAUGUUUGAGUUGAAACAGAAAAACUAAAAGGGAGAUGAGCUAAAGGUAUGAACCUAUAACUUAAGCAAGUCAAACAUACUCUAAAUAUGUUUGUCUAAGUCACAAAAUAGCUCCCAAGAUCGUACAAUACUAAUUGGUGAAGAUUUUCUCAAAAGAGCAAAGUCUGGGUUGUUCUAGGACUCGCCGAACCGGUCCGGAGGUGCACCAGACCAUCUGUCUAGGGAGCCCCUCCGAAGGCUUGAUUUGUCUAGGGUAUCGGACCCUGGGUCCUAUGCAUCGGACCUCGUCGUAUAGAAAAUACUUGACUUUAGGAAAAUUCUUUUAAAAUCAUCGGAUCUUCUACAAUAGUGGUCUGGGGGUGCAUCGACCUCGCGGUAACGGCUACUUCGGGUGCGUAACAGCUACUUCAAUGGUCUGAUGACACAUGGCAGUCUGAUGGUGGACCAAAUUGGUCCGAUGCUAGCUCGAGAUGGAAGGGUCCAAUCGAGAUCCCAAAGGAGAUGUUCCUGUUCUCUGUCCAGUGGGGCACCAGACCAGUCCGGUCUGCCUGCGUAGUGCAUAAUUCCAACAGCUUCCUCAUUGGCUAUUUGGGGGCUUGGGUCUAUAAAUAUACCCCAUUUCGACCCCCCUCAACAUCAAGUCACUCAAGAGCAAGUACUUCAUUCCUACGCAUUAGAGAAACAUGUCAAAGUUAUCCGAGCACCCAUUAUAGUGAGAUUGAGUUGUGUUGUUGUCAUGCAAUUGUGUUCUUUCUUUGAGGUGUUGUUCUUGUGCUUUUGUGUUGUUCUACUCAUCUCUCUUGCUGCUCUUUGGAGUUAUUACUCACAUCAACCGUGUAUGGCUGCAAGAGACUCCGAUCUGUGUAGAUCCUUGUGAGGAGAAUCUAUAGGAAGAAUCGUGGCCUCAAGUUGAUCAUUAGAUCACUUGAGAAGGGUUGGUUCUAACCCUCGUCCUUUGAACACUACAACGUGGAUGUAGGCAAGCAUUUGGGGCUUGUCUGAACCAUAGUAAAAAUCGUUGUGUCUUGUGUGCUUUCAUUCCUUGCGAUUUAUUCUCCCUUCCUUAUUCUAAGUUCUUGAUUUCACUUGUCAUAUUGCUCUAAGUUAUAAUUUUGCAUCUAAAAAGAGCAAUCAAUUGAAAGAACUUGUUGGCAGGCUGCCUUGCCGAAGGUCCUCAAAACACCUUACCUUCGAUAUAAGCAAAUGUGUUUCACAUGUAUAGAAAAGGAUGGAUGAGGAUGGCCUUCGGCCGAAGCAGCAUGCAAAGAAGCUUCGGCUGGACGCGUGUGUGGCGAAGGUGCAAGCCGACUUUGGCGUAGAAAAGGCUUCAUGCAUGAAACGACGAAUGAGAAGAAGUCUAAGACUUAUGCAGCAAGAAAGGAAGGGAAAAGAAAUGAUUCCCUAUGUUAUUUGUAAACCGUGUAAUCUUUGUUAGCAUGCUUGUAGUUUCUUACGAAGUUGUACCUCUUCCCUAUAAAUAGGUGAACAAUACCAUACAUAAAUUUACCUUCCGAGGGCCUUUAACUUCGCCUCACUUAGCCUUCGAAGCAUAUUUGAGCUAUCUCGUGUGUGAAACCGAAGGUACGUUUGUAAACUUACUUUACAUGGAGAAAGAUGGGAUGUGAAAUGAUAAGGCAUACAAGAUGAGUGUCACACUACGAUGUCUAUUCCCAUAUUAAACAUUAUUACUUCGUCUACAUUAUCACUUUAAUACCUUCUUCUUUAAGUUACCCAAAGAAUAGGUAACUUAAGGGUGAAGCUCUCAACCUUUUAACUUGUGUUGCCUUUUUUAUAACAUGAAGCAAUAAAAAAUAAGUGACAACAUAACUUCUCUUCCUUUCACUCUAAUUUUAUCUAUAUUAUUGUGCUAACGUCUAAUUUAGAUCAAGUUUAUGUUUAAGUUAUGAAUUUUAGGUGUCACCUAUUCAUCCCAUCUAGGUGAAAGUCAGUAUCUACUUGCGUGUAGAAGGUUGUAAGUGUUCUGGUUCAUAGCCACCAUGAGAGAUGCAAAAAAUUAAANNNNNNNNNNNNNNNNNNNNNNNNNNNNNNNNNNNNNNNNNNNNNNNNNNNNNNNNNNNNNNNNNNNNNNNNNNNNNNNNNNNNNNNNNNNNNNNNNNNNGCUUUACAACGCAGCGAGGGUGCGUUUUCUGGCCUCGGCGGCCGCAGAAGGCACACGCUACAAGAUAAUCUGAUCUGCAGGCUCGGGUCUUCACGCUGAAGGGGCUGUAGCGCCUCGGCAUCGAUCGACGCCUUAGCAAGGUCCGACCCAGCCUGACGGCGACGCGGUCCAGGGACUUCUCCGGGAAUCCGGCCCGAGCAGGUGGCUCGGCGCGGUUACCCCUGGGGCUCGGCCAAGCAUCUUCCAAGGGCGCCAGCCCGACCGAGGCCUCGGCUGAUCGACUCCGGCGUCAGCCCCGCUGACGGGCAACCCGGCUAGGCUCGCCAACCAGGUUCCCAUUUUCGAGCAACUCCGCCUCUGUUCGUACUGAUAUCGCUACCCUGGCCUCGGCUCAUGAAGAGCGGCCAAGGGUCCCUUAACUAAGCUAGAGGAGCCUCAGACAACAAGGCCGAUCGAGCCGAGGGAUUCCUACGCUCCGGGAUAACGGAUCCUCAUCGUCACCUUGACACGGGGCACUCAUGCCUGGUGAAGCGGUUCAGAUAAUCAACAGGCGAGACUUAGUGCUCGAAAAUAAGGAAGAAAACACGGCUCCGUGCCGAAUUACAUACAUGUUCAGGCCCGACAGCCACAAUGAACAAAAAACACUGGCAUUCAAGUGCCAUUACAAACGGAACUCCGGUUCCCCCUCCGCAGGUACGAACAACCCACUCCGAGGGGGAAGGCCUGCGGAGCAACGGAAGGCCGACGAACGGCGCGCCGUCACCUGCUCCAGCAGGGACGACGACGACUUCUGCUCCGGGGGUCGAACAGCGGCAGCGCCGACCUCAGGCGGGUGCUGCUGCCAGGAGCCCCGCCCACGCCAAAACUUGUGAGGCAAGGGGGGCAGAAGUCCGCAGAGUUGAAGGUCGGUCCGUGCCAGCCUUGGCUAUCUCACCGCAGAAGAACCUCUUCAAGCUGCCGUGGCGGAGCCGCCGCCGCGAGCGGCUCCAAAGCCACUCGCGUCCGAGAGCCAGGCACGGUGUAGCUGCCAGCGCCACGGACGACGACCGCCCUCCCUCUGAUCACUGAGUGAAGGAGCGGGCCGCCGCCCACGCGGGGCCGACCUCAACUCGGCGCACUCCCUCCCCAGCCCUGGUGAUGAAAAUCCUUGAGGCUGAGGGAGGGGCAGAGGCCGCAGCCCGGCUCGCUUUCCCCACAUCAAGCCGGAGGUCACCAUCCUGGGUGACCGCCGGUGGGGGGAUGCGGCCUAGCUGCAUGAUGAAAAUCCUUGAAGCCGAACGAUGGCUGAAAGGUACCAACUCCCACGGAGUUGCGUUCCUCAACGAGGAGGCGAAAGAUGGCGGAUACCCCCAUGCCGGGGCUUGGAAGAUGGAAAGACACGACGCAUAAGGGAGGAAAGAAGACAUGGUUCCUUCCAAAAGGGGUCGCCCCCUUUUAAAGGCGACUCUCCCUAUGUGCGCCCCCAACGCCACGGGCCGAGUCUUCUCCAACACGCUCCAAGGCCCUCCCUGCGGCGCGGGGGCUGGGUCCCGCAUGUCAUGCAAACCGGCUCAGAGCAGAAGAAGCCAAACCGCCGCGCGUGGUGCACGCAACCGCCCAGCGGUUACAAGCGACCCCCCACUUUUGCCCAGACCAACGGGCGGAAGGGGCGGGCAGCCAUGCAGGUGGCAUGCAACCGCGCCAGGUGGCACGCUUCUUCGACUCCUGACACGCAGCUUGGAGGCCCAGGCCCACGCGUCACGCAACCAGCGCGCCAGUUGCUACAUGCAAGCAACCGCAACCGCCACUUGUACCACGUCGCACCUCUUCGGUUGCGGACCUAUCCGCGACUCGAGCGCCCAGCGCACGACCCAGCAGCGCCAGCCUGGCGCAACGGUCAAUACGGCCGAAAGUGGGCCGACAGUAAUGACGGUGGCAGGCGGCGGGAGCAGCGGUCACGUCGUCAGCCAGGCUCACGUCCCAUCCGGGGACAACAAGAAGCCUCCUCCCCGGCGUGAAGACGGACGCCCGUGAUCCGUUCCUCGAACGGCUCGCGCACGCGCAACGGCCGCCCGCCAACCACUCGCCCCGUCGCAUUAACUCCCGGCGGAAACGCGGCGCCUCUGGUAGGAGAAGCGGGCGACGCUUCGCCUUCGCCGUAAUAACCGCGCCAAAAAGGUACGCCACGUCGUUCGAUUUCGUAUCCUUUUCCUUUUUCCCUUUCUCUAUCUCUUGCAACAGGGACCGGGAAAGGGGAUACCCCGAAAAGGAUCCUUCCUGUGAAGGAACCGGGCUCCGAGCCCCCUACUGAUCAGAGGUUCGAAGGCUGGCCCUCCGAGGGGUUCAACAGUCGCCUCAGAUCCGUGGGCCCUACACCCACUACUGGUCAGAGGUUCGAAGCCGCCCCCCGAAGGGCUCCACGGCCGCCUCAGGCUACUCGGGCUCCGCGCCCAUUACUGAUCAGGGUUCGAAGGCUGGCCCCCGAAGGGUUCACAGUCGCCUCAGACCCGAGCGAGGAUGACCAGGGUACGUUCGAUACAUAACCAGGCUCGGGCUGCGCUCCCGAGGUACCCUAGGACAUUUCCGAGACCAGCGGGAACGAUCUUGUAACGGAAUCCCAUCGGAGGGAGGCAUCGAGCCCUCGACCCCGUCGCCAGGGGACCGGGUCCGGCAGAUCACCCGCAGGUACUUUUGGGCGUGCCUCUGGGCCCUAGCCGACCCCCAACGAACGGGGCACGGACGUCCACUCGGAUUACCCGCUUGCAGCUCACCGGAGACACCAUGUUCGGUGCCCAUCGAGGGUAACAUGGCGCUCUCCCCCCUCCUCCUUGCGGAAAGGCGACGCAGGGGCGUAUGUAAAAAGCCGAGUCUGUCCUGAUCGCCUCUCGCCUGUGCGGAGGCUCGGGGCUGCUCUCGCAAACCCGGCUCCGGCCAACCGUGACAGCGUCAACAUACCAGCCCGAGACUUGGGCCCCGACCGUGCACCCGGGCUACGGCCAGUUCGCAUGAGGGAACACCAGACCAGCCGAAGCAUUACGCAAGGCAUUAAGACCUCGAAGGAGUGAACACUCCUCCGAGGCCUCGGGGCUACACCCGGCGGGUGCGCUCGCGCGCACCCACCGGAACAAAAUGCAACGAGAAAGGCUGGUCCCUUGCAAAAAAGUGCGACGAAAGCCUCCAAGCGAGUGCUAACACUCCUUCGAGGCUCGGGGGCUACUGUCGGGGACAUAAUUAGGGGUACCCUCAAGACGCUAAUUCUAGCUGGUAACCCCCAUCAGCAUAAAGCUGCAAGGCCUGAUGGGUGCGAUUAAGUCAGGGAUCAGUCCAUACGAGUGACUCGAUCACGCUUCGCCCGAGCCUAGCCUCGGCCAAGGGCAGCCGACCUCGAGGGACUUCCGUCUCGCCCGAGGCCCCCCUUUUUACGGCGGACACAUCUCCGGCUCGCCCGAGGCCUUGGCUUCGCUAGAAGCAACCCUGACUAAAUCGCCGCACCGACUGACCGAGUUGCAGGAGCAUUUAACGCAAAGGUGGCCUGACACCUUUAUCCUGACGCGCGCCCCCCGGCAGAGUCGAAGUGACCGUCGUCACUCCGCCACUCCACUGACCGGUCUGACCAGGACAGCGCCGCCUGCGCCACUCCGACUGCAGUGCCACUCGACAGAGUGAGUCUGACAGCAGUCAGGCCUUGCCAAAGGCGCCAUAGGAAACUCCGCUCCGCCCGACCCAGGGCUCGGACUCGGGCUAAGACCCGGAAGACGGCGAACUCCGCUCCGCCCGACCCCAGGGCUCGGACUCGGGCUAAGACCCGGAAGACGGCGAACUCCGCUCCGCCCGACCCAGGGCUCAGACUCGGGCUAAGACCCGGAAGACGGCGAACUCCGCUCCACCCGACCCAGGGCUCGGACUCGGGCUAAGACCCGGAAGACGGCGAACUCCGCUCCGCCCGACCCAGGGCUCGGACUCGGGCUCAGCCCAGAAGACGACGAACUCCGUUCGCCCGACCCCAGGUCUCGGACUCCGCCCUGGCCUCUGCCGAACAAUCUCCGCCUCGCCCGACCCGGGGGCUCGGGCUCGCCUCGGCAACAGAAGACAGACUCGACCUCGGCUUCGAGGAGCCCCCACGUCGCCCGGCCUAAGGACGCAGGCCCGCCACGUCAACAGAAGCGCCAUCAUCAUCCUCCCCCGAGCCAACUCGGGUCACGGAGAAAGACCGGCGUCCCAUCUGGUAGCUCCGCCAGACGGGCAAUGAUGGCGCCCCACAAGCUCUGUGACGACGACGGCUCUCAGCUCUCUUACGAAAGCGGGGCGACGUCAGCAAGGACUCGACCGCUCCGACAGCUGUCCCUCUGCCAGGCUCCGUUGCUCCUCCCGACAGCCACGACAUCAACGCCAGCAGGGUGCCAAGAUCUCUCCGGCUGCCACAUUGGCAUGUACUUAGGGCGCUAGCUCUCCCUCCGCUAGACACGUAGCACUCUGCUGCACCCCCCAUUGUACACACUGGUCCUCUCCUUACGACUAUAAAAGGAAGGACCAGGGCCUUCUCAGAGAAGGUUGGCCGCGCGGGGACGAGGACGAGACAGGCGUCUCUUGGGGCCGCUCGCUUCCCUCACCCGCUGGACGCUUGUAACCCCCUACUGCAAGCGCACCUGACCUGGGCGCGGGACGAACACGAAGGCCGCGGGAUCUCCACCUCUCUCACGCCCGUCUCCGGCCACCUCGCCUCUCCCCCCUUCGCGCUCGCCCACGCGCUGACCCAUCUGGGCUGGGGCACGCGGCACACUCACUCGUCGGCUCGGGGACCCCCCGGUCUCGAAACGCCGACAGAUUCCUUGGCUAUUUUCAGUACUAUAAAUAUUUUGUAAGUAACCAGAAAUUUUCCUUUUAAAGGCUGCUAAAAAGUAAAAACAUAUUGAUCAGUCACAGAAUUAGCACACAUAACUUGAAACAUAAUUUACUCAAACCUCUGCAUUUACUUUUUAGAAAAAGUUUUAACACAUGACGUAGAAAUAAAGAUAGGUUCAAACAGUAACAAAACGGACCUCUCUAAAACAUUUUUAUACGCAAUAUAUAAUGUUGCAUCGACAGUUGUUAUUAUCCGUUGACAAUAAUAUAUAGUAGAAACACAGACAUCUACUCUAAACUUAACAAUUGCUUGUAUACUUGUAUCGAUCUUGCAUAUAUGGAAGCCGUCAAACUACAAUCAGUAAUUGCAUUCUAUCACUCUAAAGUACAAAUAUUUUUACCUUUUCUUAGCCUGUCUCUUAAUAGCUGAAUUUUGGAACAGUGAUAGAUAAUCUAAAUCAAUGAUACAUGACUCGUAUAAAAGAAAGCUUAUGGCAACACAAACAUUUUCAUACAGCGCAGAAGAAAUCAGAGCACCAAAUCAAAGAUAGUUGCACGCCAAAUUGAACCUUUAAUAAUAAGUGCAAACUGGAAUCAUUUAGGAGAUGCAGAUUUCACUAACCGUGCUGAUGUGAUCCUCGUGCAGUGCUCCAGGACCAAGACCCUGGUCCUCCUCAACUGCCUCGACACCAAUCUGUUGCAGGGUAGACCAAAUCAGAGCACCAAAUCAAUGAUAGGUGGACGCCAAACUAACCAUCACACUUCUCGAUUUUCCAGUCAAGAUUGCUAAGAAAUAUAAGGAAGAACCCAAUUGAUGUUCUUGGCUGUGCACAAGGGAAAAGAGGCUCCUUUGAUGCACUCACCCUUGGGAUCGAAGCACGCGGCGACGCUCGGUGGAGUCGCAGAUCACGAGCCGUGCAAGCAGGCUGGCCCUCCACAUCCGCUUCUGCGCGGUGGGGCGAAGCCCAUCCAGCGCGAACCUGACUCCGUGACCUCCCACCCUCCUCUGCUUCUUGCCUCGCCCUGCCCCUUUCUAUACCAAGACAAGUGAGUUUGGCGAGGACGGUCUCCUCAGACUUCCUGGUGGAGAGCUCGAGGACGGGGUCGGGGUUGACAUCGGCUUCAGAGGCGCGGUCGGAGAGGGCUCUACUAAGGUGGAGGUGGCAGAAGGGGCGUCUUCGUGUCGGGCGACUCGGCCGGCGGCACCAUCGCGCACCACGUGGUCGUGCGCUUCGGCGGCUCGCCCGCGGACCUGGCCCCGUCGCCGUGCGGGGAUACGUCCAGCUCAUGCCCUUCUUCGGCGGCGUGGCGCGCAUGCGGUCGGAGGCCGAGUGCCCCGCCGACACCUUCCUCGACCGGCCCCUCAACGACCGCUACUGGCGCCUGGCGCUGCCGGAGGGCGCCACGCCCGACCACCCCGUGGCCAACCCGUUCGGCCCGGGCGCGCCGCCGUUGGACGCCGUCGAGUUCGCGCCCACCCUGGUCGUCGUCGGCGGCCGCGACCUCCUCCACGACCGCGCCGUCGACUACGCCGCCAGGCUCAGGGCCGCCAGGAAGCCCGUCGUGGUUAGGGACUUCCACGGCCAGCAGCACGGAUUCUUCACCAUCGACCCCUGGUCCGACGCCUCCGCCGAGCUCAUGCGCGUCAUCAAGCGCUUCGUCGAGGCGGUUGCCGAGGGGAGGGGGAGAAGACGAGGCGGCGGAGCGCACGGAGGGAGAUGGAUGGGAGAGCCAGCCAGCCAGGUGCGCGACGGGAGAGAUGGCAUUUGGAGGGGACGAACUCAGAGCGAGAAUUGAUAGAGUUCGGGUCCGUGGCUAGACACGCGUCAAAUGCGCGAUGGUCGGAGACCCGUGAAGCGCGGAGAAGAGCCGAAACCCGAGCGUCUUUUAACUAAAGGUAAUUCAUUGCUUGCUCGACCAAAUGAUUCUUUCUAAGCCUAGAAUGUUAAGAGCCAACCAUGUAUAAUACAUAACAAAAUAUCUAGUAUGAGGACGCACCCAGAGAGAACAAAUAAGUUGAUUACUCAUUGAGCUCUAAUAAUCAUGUGUCAUUUGACCACUACCUAGCAGAGUAGCAGUUCAACUAGUAGGAUAACCUGUUUCAAUAGACAAACAACUUUUUUUAUACAAAAGUAGACCCCACAUCCUAGUUUUUUUAGAUCAACAUAAAGUAGGAUAUGCCAUUGAGAGAUCAGAGAUAUGCUAUAACAUCAUACUCGAGGACAAGAAAAUGUCGGUCAAAAAUCACCAAAACAAAGUCAAAAUCUCCCUCUCCCCUUUAUCACAGCACACCCUGCGAAGAUCUGAACCAAAACACCACGGAUGUCUAACCCUAUGACCUCCUCGAGCUAGAACAUAAUACUAACACUAUCACCAACAACUUAUCCUCCAUCCCUAUAUUUAAACUUCACUUUGCGAACAAUGCAGUCUACAGUACAAAAUAAUGUUUUAGAUAACCAUAUAGAUAAAUUACUGAACACGGUCUAUUAGAGGCUAAUCGAGUACACAUCCAAAAAGUGGAUCCAAUACUUGGAGCAAUAAAAGACUAAGGCAGGUACAAAAGCAGAGAAAAGAGAUCGAACACGCAUCAUAAGAUUUCCCUGAGGGCCUAUUUGUUUAAUCCCAAUUCAUAUGAAUUGAAGAGGAUUGAGUAGAUUUAAAUUCUAAAUAAAUUAAAAUAUCUUCUAAUCCAUAUAAUCCACGUUGGACGGAAAUAACCGAAAAAAUGUUUGAGGUGCUCAAAAACCUUAGUCCAUGUCCACAAAGAGGAUACACAACGAGGACGAAGCAAUAACUGUGUCACGCUGAGAGCAACUCCAAGAGAUUAGCUAAAAAGACUAAAUAGAUUUUAUAGAAAAAGAGUAGGUUAAUCCAAUAGACUCGAUAAACCUAUGAACUGAACAGAAUGGAGAGUAAAAUAGGUGAUUCAAAAAUAGAGAACGGACGUAGAGAGAUAGAUAGAGAGAAACUAAAUUUGAAGACAAAUCAGGUCCACAGCGCACAAAUCACAUCUGAUCCGAUUAGAGUUUAUUGGCAGCUCCACAGCGCACAAAUCUCAAAGACAAAUCAGGGUCAGCUAAAAAAAUAAAAAUCAGGCAAAAGUAAAAGUGUUACAAUACAGUAGAUGAAAGUAAAACACAUAGACACCAGAAAUAGCGAGUCUAUUCUUUAUUCUGAAUAUUUAAUUAAUAAUUACAACUUAGAGCUUCCGACAAGAUAUAAGAGUUUGGUAAAAGCUAACGUACAAACUGAUUAGGAUAUUGUUGGACACCAAAAGAGGGCGGCGGUCCGCGGUCCGGACGGUCCGCGUCUAUGGCCGGACGGUCCGCGCAAGCGCCGAACAAAUUAGGGUUCCGAGUUUUUUGCUAUGUUUGUUGCCGAGAAUCUCGGGAUAAGCUCGGAAAUUAGUUUGUAAAGGGUUCAGCCCCCCUCCUCUAUAAAUAGAGAGGUAUACGGCCGAUUUAUCAUCAUCAAUCGAAUCAAUACAACUUCUAUUCGCAUUUAUUUUCCAGUACAAUUAGGAGUAGCUCUAGUUUAGUUCUAGUUUAGCCUCUUGAUCCCCAAAUUCUUCGCCUCUCUUCGACUCUACGCCGAUUAGAGGGUCUAGGUCGGCCGGCCCAAGCCUAGACAACCCCUAGGAUCUCUCCUCCCGACGGGGUCCCUCCCGGGAGCGAGAUUCAGGCCGCCGCAGGCGACUUCUGCCGCCCCUGCGCACGCGCGGACCGUCCGGCCCCAGGGCGCGGACCGUCCGGCCGUCAGGCAGGAAACCCUAGCCCCAGCGCCAGGUCGCGGACUGUCCGGCCCCAGGUCGCGGACCGUCCGCGCCUGACCAGAGAGCACCGCCGCCGGUUCUUCUUGAGUAUUUGGCACUCCGAAAAGGCGUCAACAUACUUUUUGGCGACUCCGCUGGGGAAAACACAUAUAGACCUAUCAAAUCGGCCCUCAAUGGCUGGUUCAAAGGAUAGCUCUGAAGUUUCCACAAGCAAUAUCAUCACGCCGACAUGGGAAACCUUGCCGGCUGAGGAACAACUCCUGUUCGAGGAGCGCCAGGAGCAGCUGAUCCAAGAAGCAAAGGCGAAGUUCCUGGCCGACUUCAAGGUGGACAGGAACAACAAAGUCGUUCGGCAACGGGCGACAGAUCUGGCUUCGCUCCGACCUACUACGAUUAACCCCAAUGUAAGUAGCACCAACGAACUCCAAUCUCUUAAAGCUUACAUAGACGGACAACGAGACCAGUUGCAACGUAUCGUAGGGGAUAUACAAAACGAUCAUAACAGGCUAGUGUGUGCGCUUGAUAAGUCUACUAUGGCAAAUCUUCCUUCGCACGAGGUUGAAUUGAGGUAAUACACACGUAAUUCAUCGGCUACAGGGUGCCACGACCAGUCACAACCCCUUUAUGGGAUGUCGAUAGACAUGUACCUUGGGCAACGACAGCCUCCCACGCACAUCGGCGAUAAAUUUGCCGAUCUGCGCAUGUCCGGACCGUCCGCACGUGAGCGCGGACCGUCCGGGCCAGCAGCGACCGAUCCCAUUUUUAGAAGCGAAUUACCGAGACCUGCACCCAAGCCGCCACAUGCCAUGCAAACCCUAGAUAACCCAUUCGGACCGUCUGCGUAUGGCGCCAGACAGUCCGAAUAUAAUGUCGGACGGUCCGGCCACAUGGCCGGACAGUCCGCGCACGGAGCCGGACGGUCCGCGUAUUUAACCGGACGGUCCGACACAGAGUUUUUUGAGAAAGAUGGAUAUCCAACUCCGUAUCCGUCCCAGCUAGACUCCCAUCUCACCAUACGACACACCAGCACCAUAAUAUAAUCUAUCAAACCCGUGAGAGUGAGUACUUUCCGGCCCCUAGAAGGCCAGAAAGGAAUGGCCAGUCCUAUGAGCCUCAUAGGGCAUGCAUUAACACGCCGCAAAACCCAAACCAAUGGGGAGGAAAACAACAUACCAACAUCCAAACAAACUCACCCAUAUUGGGUCAAAGAGCCGGUGGUCUCCCACCGGCUGCCAUCGAUAUAGUAAGGGAAGAAAUAGCUGGGGCGUUCCGAGAUAAGCUCGGAGUUAGUAUAGUCCCCGGGGGCAGUCAUAUCGGAGACCUUAUGAUAGCCAGUUUGACCAGCUCCCAUACCCACAGGGGACCAGAAUACCCGAACUCGUAAAGUUUUCGGGUGAUGAAGAAAAGAGCACGCGUGAGCACAUAGACCAGUUCUUAGCACAGUUAGGAGAAUUGGCCGACACCGAAGCAUUCCGUGUACGUUUAUUUUCAUUAUCUUUAACAGGGACUGCAUUCACAUGGUAUGCCAUGCUCCCUCCUAAUUCCAUUUUGUUGUGGGGAGAUUUAGAACAAAAAUUUCAUGAACAUUUCUUCUCUGGCAAUUAUGAGCUAGAUUUAGUAGACUUAGUGGCCCUACGACAAGAAAAGGAUGAAUCGGUUAGUGAUUACAUCCGAAGAUUCCGGAAUACGAGAAACCGAUGCUUUCAAAUUCAUUUAACAGAUAAACAACUGGCGGGAAUAGCCUUUGAUGGAUUGCGCUAUUAUUUAAAAGACAAAUUAGAAGGCAUCCAGUUCUUUACGCUAGCUCAGUUACAUCAGAAAGCUUCGGCUUGUGAAAGCCGAAGCAAAGAACUAGUCAAAACGGUUCAUCAUAAUGUCCAUAUAGUAGAACACAAUCAAAGUAGUUCGGACGGUGAACCAAAGGAAAUUUACACUGCCGAAAUAGUUUGGCCUGAGCAGGCCAAAUCUUCGGCUUGCUCCUCCUUGCAGCCAGUUCAAAAGAAACGACAGGAGGAGAUUAAGUUUACAUUUAAUGUUGGCAAAUGUGAUAAGAUAUUCGAUGAAUUACUAAAAAUGGUAACAUUAGAAUUGAUUAUAUCGUUCCACCUGUCGACGAACUAAAGUGUCGCGCAUACUGCAAGUGGCACAACUCAUUUUCCCAUGCCACUAAAGAUUGUAAUGUGUUCCGACGGCAAAUCCAAUCGGCCAUUAGAGAGGGACGAUUGAAAUUUCAGGAGGACACAGAGCCCUUUCCAAUGAAUAUGAUCGACUUCAACGGAAAAAGGGUCCUAAUUCGGCCCAGCACAGCCGAUAAGGGCAAAGACAAAGAAGUCAUCAUCGGCAACUUACGGGAGGCCGAUGGAAACAACAAAAUCUCUUGCAGGAAAGUGGUGGCCGAGAAGACUCCUGAUGGAGGAGAGACACUGAAAGUGACCAUCACAAACUCCGACACUGGGGGGCAAGCGCAGACGAGGGGAUAUGUGCGAGAACCCAUACUACGCAUCGCGGACGGUCCGGUGCCCAGGCGCGGACGGUCCGUAACAUCACCGGACGGUCCGGAGCGUUCCAGCGGACGGUCCGGCAACGCCGAAGAGCCGCGGCGACCACGUACCUUCAAACCACGACGACCAGAAAUAGGUACGUGGAAAACUAACACGUUCAAGGCAACUGGACAAUUGGUAAAAUCCAGCCUGACCUUUGAUCAAUUAUUGUCUAAAUAUGUGAAAAAGAAGGCUGGCCCUAGCGACCGGCCACCAAAACGACCUCGCUUACCCACCCAGGUGCGACAGCAGGUUAGGCCGAUUGGACCACCACACCAAUCGGAAAGGACGGGAGGUCAUAAUGUUCAAUUAAGACCUAACGUACCUGCAUGGGCACCUCCACCACCGUAUUCACCUAUGCCAUAUCCAUACACAUACAUACCUCCACUAUAUGUCCCAAAUCAAAUGUGGGGCAUGCCACCAUAUCCAUUUGGGAUGCCACAGUACCCCGCUUGGGGGGCACCUCAAACAUCUGUAUUCAACAGGUUGACAUCUCCAGUACAAGACCGAUUGAGAGCCCCUCAAUCUGGUCCACGAGCACAGGCCCAGCAAGAUUGUCGAACAACUCGCCCCCAAAGGCUGACUAAUCCAGCAGGGGGGCAUACAGCUACAACCUCCAACAGUAUGAAAAAAGGAGACGUCAUUAAAAUAGGAACGUCAUAUGUCGUCGUACAACAAAAUAACGAAGGGCCGAUGAUUUUUGGUGAAUCGGCCAACACAAACAAAAAAGGAGGUACGGCUGCCAACAAAACAGCCGAUCCAAAAUACUCCAUGCCCCGAUGGUGCCCAUCGGGAUUGACACGAUCGCAAAAGCGAAAAUUACAGCGCCUUAGAGCAAAGGAGAAUCAGGAGAAGGAGGCAGAAAAAAUAUUCAAUGACACACAUCCGCAGUAUCCACCACCACAAAAGAGAUGGAGACCAAAGGCCGUUGAAGAAAAUCAAACGGCCACAGAGACAGAAAAUAAAACGACAAAUGUGCAGCUCUUUGCAGGUAUGACAGACAGUCCGGCUAUAAAGACCGGACCAACCGAACAGGGCGCGGACCGUCCGACCACUGAGGCCGAUUUAUCCGCAAUACACCAUGACACCUGCAACGACGUACCAACACACAUGGAGGAAGACGACCUGCAAGGAGAAGAUCUGGUCGACUACGAAGCUACGCCAGAACACUAAGAAAAUUAGGAAAGCAAGGUGACGAAUUGGUCAGGACCAGCAUGGCGCUUGGCGGUAUUGGGACUAACAGUUCGAUCAAAGCUAAAGGGGUCACGUCCGUUGAGUCAACCAUCAGGACUAAGGCCAUUGCGUAUUAUCCUAGUAAGUGUCAAAAUGUCUAAGAAAACCGAUGUGAUCACAUCGAGUUAGUUGCUUUUGGAUCGCUCAGCUCCACCAAAAGGCAGGGGGGCAUAUGUUCGACACCAAAAAGAGGGCGGACGGUCCGGCCCUGAGGCCGGACGGUCCGGGGUCAGGACGGUCCGCGCCUAUGGGCCGGACGGUCCGCGUAAGCGCAGAACAGAUUAGGGUUCCGAGUUUUUUUGCUAUGUUUGUUGCCGAGAAUCUCGGGAUAAGCUCGGAAAUUAGUUUGUAAAGGGUCCAAUCCCCCUCCUCUAUAAAUAGAGAGGUAUACGGCCGAUUUAUCAUCAUCAAUCGAAUCAAUACAACUUCUAUUCGCAUUUAUUUUCCAGUACAAUUAGGAGUAGCUCUAGUUUAGUUCUAGUUUAGCCUCUUGAUCCCCAAAUUCUUCGCCUCUCUUCGAUUCUACGCCGAUUAGAGGAAUCUAGGUCGGCCGGCCCGAGCCUAGACAACCCCUAGGAUCUCUCCUCCCCGACGGGGUCCCUCCCGGGAGCGAGAUUCAGGCCGCCACCGGCGACUUCUGCCGCCCCUGCGCACGCGCGGACCGUCCGGCCGUCAGGCAGGAAACCCUAACCCCUGCGCCAGGUCGCGGACCGUCCGGCCCCAGGCCGCGGACCGUCCGCGCCUGACCAGAGAGCACCGCCGCCGGUUCUUCUUAAGUAUUUGGCGCUCCGAAAAGGCGUCAACAGAUAUGAUUUAUUUUUCUGCUUUUCUUUUAAUUAGGGCCAGUUUGAAGACAAGAGAAUUAAGAGGGAUUUGGAGAGGGUUGAGUGGAAAUGAACUAAUUUCAUUCUAAGUCCCCUCUAAUCUUUCUCAAUUCUCUUGUCACCUAACAUCAAGAGUGGGGAAAGAACAGUUUCAACAACUGUUCACAGGGGAAGAGAAGGACUAGCUGGGGAGACGGCACCGCAGUCCACGAGGGCGGCGUCGGAUCCAAUUGGCACGAUCGUCUCCUUCGUAUCGGUCGGCAACCUCCGCCAUUAAGAUGCUCUCGAGCACACUCACGGGGCGCGAGCAAAGGAGCUCUGACACGCCACCAUCCACGACGCUACAGCCCAACGGCCCUCUGCUCGUCUACUUUUUGCACAAAAGCAUGCGUCGGCGGGAUUGCCUCACCGGCUUUGCUAGUCGUCGCGUGCACUCUUAUACGUCCCCCGGCCGCGGCCGCCACCUAGUAUGCCGGCGAUUCAUGGUCACGCGCAGUAGUUACACUUCUGCUCUAUCUGGCUCGCGUCGUAAUCCAUGGAUCAUACCAUCUCCAAGCGCGCCACGGAGAGCCAGUGCAACAAUGCCGACGGGCAGCCGCCACCGCUGCUCGACUCGCCGCUCCCCACGCCUCGCCGGUCGUGCACCUCUGUCGACGCGUUACGAAUUCGCUGCCGCCGCGACGCAUCGCCGCUGCGGACGCAUGUGCCGUUCUCCUGGGAGAGCUCCCCGGGCGUGCCAAAGAACAGCGGGUGCGGCAGGGACACGCACAAGAAGGCGCAAGCGAUGCCGCCGCCGAGGCCGCCGCCCGGGCGCCUACGACAGCCGUACCUCGCCAGGAACUUGUACUACGGAAACACGAGCGAGGCGAGCAGCGACGACGACGACGACAACAGGUCCUUCUCCGACACACUGGACAGGAUCUCCUCGCCCGAGCGGACCGGGUCGUUCGACCGGGUCACGUCGAAGCGCUUCGAGGACAUCUUCGUCGGCCGCGCCACGAGCUUUGCCAAGGACCGGACCCAACACCCCGGCGUGGAAGCCACCGACUUGGCGGCCUCGGGCGGGCAUCCGAGGCAACCGCGUCGGGACAGCACGCGCCGCAGCCACGAUGAGGACCGUCGGUGGGUGCCUAGGCUCCUCAACGACAGCGUCCCCAUGCAGCUGAUGCAGCGGAUCAAAAUGGAUGCGGACGCCGAGGAGAUGACCCCAAGAGCCUGUGGCCUCAUGAUGUUCUUCCCCUGGAGCGCAAAGCCGGUGGUCUACGGCUUCAGGAACCCGGCGGCGCAGCACGCAACAACGACGACGACGACUCACGCCGGAGCCGAUGUGCCUUCACCUUCGCACAGUCGCAGGGUCACCACCACCACCCUACGCGAUGUCAUUAAGCAAGAUAGCCAAGCCGUUAGCAGCGACAUGCCGCAGCCGCGCGGAGAAAAGAAGAGGGGCCGCAACGACUUGCCGAGCCGUCGAUGGGGCGUGUCGUCGUUGCUUGACACGAGCAAGAAGUACUGCACUGACGCCCGGAAGGCUCUGAGCAAGCUCUCCAUCGGACUAGGAGCGGACGGCGGCAGCCCCAGGGUGAACAGGAGUGGCAAGCUGCAUGAUGGUUUCUCGUCAACGCCGGCGACGCCCGCAAAGUUGACGCAGCUGAAGGCUAACAGAAACUGAGGUGGCUUGAGUGCAGAAAUUCUCUGCACAUAUAGGUAUGCACAUUCUAUGAUCUGAUGUCCUGAUAGAUCGAAUAAAAUAAAGAGUAUACUGUAUAUUUUGUGACGUCUACUGGGUAAUCCUGUUACUGUUGGCGUAAUGUGCACAAACUGUCAUUUGAGCCUGUUAUUAGUUCUCCGAUCAUAAACAAAUGUAAGAAAUACAACGUUCCUCUCUUGUACAGUACAUGGUCAUUGAUAUAAUGAGAUCAACGCGUGGUAGGCCAGAACAAGUAUCAGCGAGCAUCUCCAAUAGGGUAACUUAAAAUAGUGCCCCAAAAAUUAAAAUAUUAUAUUAUUUAAAGUGUUUAUGGCAUUAAAAAUAAAUUACGAUGAUAAUGAUGUAGAAAGAUAAGGAUAGGGCACUAGUUUAAGGUGUAGUAUAUUUGGGUCACUCAAUAGUGUGUCCUAUUUUCUUGAUAAAAAAUUAUAAAAUAGAGCACUGUUGGAACGAUUUUUUAUAUGUUGAGCUCUAUAUUUCAAAAUAGGGCGCCGAUUUAAGGCAAUGUUGGAGAUGCUUUUAGGCGCUACAAUCAAACUAGGCACGUGUGGAUAGAACGGACUACGGAGUCCAUAUUCGAGGUGGACCAGAUCGAGAAGAUACCUCUAAAGAGACAACAUACAAUACGAGGUAGGGAUCCAUGCCAUGUGGCAAUGUGAGUGGCCCCUUACCACUCAAGUCUUCUCUAGGCUCCCUUAUGCAACGACCUCUAGUGGGGUCCGGUUGCACCAUGUAGCCAUACUGGCCUCUUGCCCUUUGUGGACUCGGGUGUUGCCACGUGUCCCUGGUGUCCCAUUGGAUAGCUCAAACUCCCUUGAGAGGACUCCGAGCUCCUCUAGGAAGAGUCCCUUAAGCAUUCGCUCUGUCGACUACUAUGCCGACUACUAUACAAGCUGAGAGCCCUAUGCUCUCGGGCUCCGGAAGGCUCCAACUAGUUGCGGGGUAUGAGCACGUCGUGUGUCCUUCGGGCUCCACGAGGACCCUGGUUAAAGGUGGCUCCCGACGACCCUAAUCGGGAAGGUUUCCAAUGCGCCACGUGGAUCGAUCGCCCACUCCACGAUUGGUCAUAGAGUUGGUAGAGUCAGAAGACGUGGCACACCUGUUCGAGGAACAUGCAUGACUCUAGCAGCAUCGUGCCCACUUCCUAGUUGCCAGACCCGAACUUCCAGGACGUGACACCAGUGUGGCACUGUGACAGCGUGGACGUCAUGUGCCAUGGCCAACCACUUCCCUUUUUGCGGUGUGGACGAUGUGCUCGUCGACCUACCACACUAUCGAUCUCCGGUGUGCACAUCCUCGGUCUUCUGCAACAUGCGCACGCUUCGCACAUGCUCGUGUCAUCUGCUAUGUGCAAGGUGUGCAUCUAUAUGAUCUCGGACAUGUAUACAAAUCUUUAGACUGACGUCAAUAGGAUUUCUAUUAUUGUAGGAUUGGACAGGCACCAACCUACUAGCCCCACUUGUCAUUGUAACCCUAUCCCUUUUGGUCAAUAAAAAGAAGAGAGAGGCACCAUUAUAAAGAUUCAGUUUCCAUUGUUUUCAUCGUAGUCGUGUGUCAACACUUUUUGCAAAAAAACUCUUUAUAAUUCUUUGUAAUCAACCUGCGGUUCAAGCUAGCCUCUCUGUUCUGGUUCUCUCUCCACUUUUGCAAAAAAAAAUCUUAUAUUUCUUUAUAAUCAACAUACGGUUCAAACCUUACUUACCCUGGCUGCCUUCCCAAUUUUGCAAAAAAAAAGAACUCUUAUAUAUUUUUUUUAUAAUCAUCAUGUGAUUCAAAGCCGUUGCAAGGCACAGACAUUGCAGUAGUGUUUCUUGAGGAGGGAAUUUUGUGAGUCAGAAUUGUGCCGCUGUGCAGUCUUCUUUUGUGCUCGUGGUCGUGGAGUAGCCACGGUGGAACCCAGCCUGGUGAUGUGAAGAAGAACCCAUUAUCUAGCGGCCGACUGCUAUUGUUGAAACGAGCUAGAAAAGGACUAGCGUACCUAGGGAUGGCAAUGGGUACGGGUAUGGGUAAAUAACCGCGGAUAAUUAUCCAUUGGAUAUGGGUAUGGUGGAAUUUGAUAUCCGCGGGUACGGUUAUGAAUAUAAUAAGGUAUCCGCGGAUAUUUUUUUCGCGGGUAUGGAUAUCCAGUAUCCAUACCCGUUACCCAAUGGAUAUCUAACAUGUGGGCCAUCCGGAUUUAUAUAUUAUCAUAAAUUCUUAUUUUUUCAAUUUUUAUCCAUAACAUGUUGUUUGGUGCUGAAAUUAUCAUUUAAUGUUAUUGGAAUGAUAAUUAUUUUGAAAUGUAAUAAAAUUGUUGUUUGAUGUUUAAUGCUAAAAUUGUAGUGGGCGGGCGGGUAACGGGUAUCCACUGGAUAGCGGAUACCCAGCGGGUACGGGUAUGGAUACAGAUCCAUACCCACGAGCGUUUAUGGGUAUGGGUAUGGGUUGAGUUUUGUCUCGUGGGUAUGGAUUCGCGAACUAUAUAUCCGUGUACUAAGGCUAUUCACAAUGGAGGUUUCAUGGGGUGUUUCAUGUAUUAAUUAGCCUGCCACAUCAGCUAUUUUGAUGACAUGUCACAUCAUUUAAGAAGAAAGAGUUUCAUAGAGUUUCAUGGGGAUGAAACCAUGUUAACUCGUUUCCAAGAUCUUGGAAACUGUGUGAAACCUCCACUGAGAGUGUUUUGUUUCAUCUUCAUAUAAUUGAGUAAAUCCUAUUGGUUAUUUAUAUGCAGCAUUUAAGAAGUAUGUUGACUAUUUCAGAUGAAACUCUCUAUUGAGAGAGGGUAUUUCAUUCAUCCAUAAAUCUGAUGUGGCAUUUUUGGAAACAGUGACAUGAAAUCCCCAUUGUGAAUAGCCUAACCGCCCGAUUGCCAUCCCUAAGCGUACCUGAACCUUCGGUUCCUUUCACCGCAUUACGUGAACGGCGGUUUACCCGCUUGACCUUCGGUUUCAUUCAGCGCCUACAUUCUCUCUGGACCUCACGCGGUCACGCCCUCUGCCAUUUAUGGAGCGGAAGUCCACACCAAAAUACUCCUAGAAACAGAGCAGCAUUACGAGGCCAAAAGUAAGCUGCUGCUGUUCUUCGACCCGUCCCGUUCGUUCGAUUCGUUCUUUCCGCCAUGGAGGCUCGGAGGAAGCCCGCGGUGUGCUGUGCCCUUCUUGUGCUGCUCAUCGUCGCCUCCAGUGAGCCUUGCUGGCUUGCUGCCAUAAAAUGCUCUCCUUUCCUUUGCACCUUGCUCCUACAUCCGGGCGGCGUGUUCGGAUGGCAAGCUCGGUUUUCAUGUGAUUUCCUGCCGUCCUUUCUCUCGCAGGCGCAACGGUGUCGACUGCUCAUGACGAGAGCUGCUGGAAGGACGACGACCACCACCCUAUCUGCUUUCCCGAAGACUGCGUGGCGACCUGCCAGGAUCACGGCCACGCGGACGGCCGCUGCAACUGGGCAUGGUCGUGGAGGCCGUAUUGCCAGUGCCUGUUGGCGGACUGCCAAUAGGCGCGAACAGCUGCGUCGCAUGGCGUCCUGGCUGCCUCGCCGGCCGAUGAAGGAUGAACGGUUGCGGCCGAUGAUCGAUGUGUCCGUCGGCAUGUCGAUCACUCAUUGAAACCCCCUCUAAUCCUGUGCGGUAUUAUUUUCAUGGCACCUGUGGCCAUUAAAGAUCCAUGGACACGUACAGUACCAAUACAUGAUUCUUCACAGUUCAACUAUCGAUGAUACUGUUCAUGGAUUUUCAUUCCGAUACAAACUCAUUUCGUGGUUAUUUGGAUGUCUUAAAUUAAAUACAGUUUUAGCAAAAAAAACAUGUUUUCACAG
Molecule: long non-coding RNA, 23137 nt
Filed under: Zea mays
Lineage: Eukaryota; Viridiplantae; Streptophyta; Magnoliopsida; Poales; Poaceae
Description: long non-coding RNA (ZMAY_LNC001947)
Source: RNAcentral